GAAGUUUGAGACAAUAAUAGACGGUAAGUUCUGUAUCUGAAUGUGUGUAUAUCAUUUUGUGAAGUAGUUCAUGGUGGCUGAUUGCAUGCCAAAUCCAAUUUGUAUUUAGUAGGGCUGGCAUGUGUGGGGUCAUCACCACCACAAGGUUUUAGAAGCACUUCGCAAGCGCGAGGGAGUCAUUGCGUCUGAUCAAGUUAGGUCUGGUGAACCCAGAUGUGCUUCUAUUACCUAAUUCUGUACGGUCAUUCUAUACAAUGUAAAUGAUGCCAUGCUAACUCAAAUUGAUGGGUGGCCUGCAAUGCAGCCAGGUCAGAUGGCAAGCUGCCAUUGAACAUGUCGGCAGCAGAAGGCAUUAGGAGGCGGCAGAAGAGGUGUGCAAACAGGGGCAGCAGGCAGUAUCGUCAGAGGAGAUGCCUAACGCGAUCAAGCAGGCAUUUGUCACCUCGAAAAGCUCUGAUGAAUAUGAAGAUCCGGCUGCAAUCAAGCUACAGGUAUUGGCAGAGCUGAACUUUAGCAGUGAUAUUUGUUCACUUUGGAAAAUAGUAGUACUAAUCAUUAUGUUUGUCAAGUGCCACACCCAGGAAAGAGGACAAAGAAGCAAGCAGGGCCUACUCCAGCAAGGCCAACAUCAGUGCCCAGAACUGCUUCUCAACCAGUUGGAAGGGGAAGCCGGAGGAGUCACAACAGGGCAGGUUGAAGCUCCAGAUAGCCUGCUCCAGGAGUUCAAGCUCACAGCAAGUCCGAAGGCAUAACAGCACUGGGGAACAUUGAAUGCCUAGCUUUGCUUCUCAAUCUGUGUGCAUUUUGUUCAUGUGAAAAUUAAGUCUCCAGCCCUUUGUGGAUGCACCUAGGAGCCAUUCCCAAUUUCCGCCUUUUAUGGAUGUUUAGUAUUGUCAAAGACCUUAAGCAUUUGUAUGGUUACUUAUGAGUAAGGAUUAUUAUGUGACCUGAAGCUUAUCUGAAAGUGUGAUAUGCCUGUCAAUUUCUUAAAGUGCCAUUGCUGUAAAUUUAUUCUGAAUUCGAUGUCAAUAAUUUGUACAGUUCCGGUUAACUUGUGAAUUUGCUGAGUGAAAGUCAUCGAAAACAUGAGCGAACAGAGACGGUCAUCGCAUAUGCGUGGGCGUGGCAUACAUGAUGACUUAUUUGACCGCAUGUCGGGUGACAGCAUGGCAACUGAAGGGGUUUUCUGUGAAGUCCCAGCCCAGUUCUUUUAGUCAGCUUCUAGUGCUGCUCGCCGGCGCCUGGCCAGCUUCUAGUCAGCUUCUAGUGCUGCUACUGGCCGGUUCCAUCUCCGUACUGCAUGCUGCUUGUUGCUUGAGCUCGCCGCACUGCUGCUUCUGCUGCUCGUCGCCACAAGCAGACUAGGCUUCCCCAGAUCGCUGGCGCAAGCAUUGCGGCUGCUCGACGCCCGGCCGGUGCAUACUGCCGCAUGCCGAUCGCCGCAUACUAGAUUCUGCUGGACAUAGACCGAUAGACGACGGACGACCUGGGAGGCUCGAUCGGUUACAGCCGGCGAUCGAGGAAGAUAUGUAUCAGUCCAGGCCUCCAGGGCCUCCGUAGGUCGUCGCCGCCACUGCCCAGGUUUUUUAGAAAAGGAGGAAUCACCCCCGGCCUCUGCAUCUGGGUGAUGCAUGCGGCCAUAUUAUUUAUUAUUCACAAAGACCUUACAAAGUAAUACAAUAGUAAGCCCGAGGCCACCAUCUAGACGACACCUGUCGUUACUCCUAUCCCCUUGAUGAAGGUGUGCUGAAUGUCCGAGCCAAAUACGAAACAGACAUCGCACGAAAGUCUAACAUCUAACGCUGGAUGCCCCAUCCAAGCCACAUAGGCGAGACUGGGUAACACUCCGGUCCGGCGCACUCUCAGUGAGUACCACAUGCACACGCUGCAAAGGGCCGUCACCUCCGUCUUCCCUCGAUCCAUCCUCAAAGCAUGUACUGACGCAUCUACCUUGUCAGGCCACUCUGCCAUCGACGCCACCACGACGUCAGACAACGUCGACCUCCUGCGCGUGUCCCUCGCCACACAUCUGACGCCAAGCCUCCACUGCUCCAUGCCGUCGAGAUCCGUCGUCAUGAAUAUGUACAAAGAAACACCGCUCCACCGCAGAUGCCAUCCACUGGUCCCUCGAGCCAGUGCAUCUCCAAGAAUGCCGCCCCCAAGGGGGUAACGACACAUGAAUGCCGCCGUCAUCCGAUCAACUGAUCUAGGGUUUUCCCGGGAGGUAUUGGGUGGGGUUGGGAGCUUCACCUCGAUGAUGCCUUCAUGAAGGAAAUGAUGAUAAGACCAUCGUCGUCACCGGCUCCAGCCAAUGACCGAAGGCCAAGUUUUCACCCGGAUCCAUUCCAAGAAAUCCACCCGACAACUUGUGCACUAUCUCGACCGCCUUCAAAGCCCCAGAUCUAGCCGCCUAGAUCCGGCGACCAACCGCAACAGCAGUGCCACCGUAGGAGCCCUGGCACACCAGCCACUGCCUGAAUGCGCCACCACUGGAGCCUGGGAGGAGGGCUCCCACCCCACCUCGCCAACCCGCGAGAGCCGCCGGGAUGGAUCCCCCACGCUCAUCACCGUCUCUGAUCUGAACCAAUCUGUGGCCAAACCACAAGAUCGUCGAUGCGGAUCCGCCUUGGAUAGGGACUGCACCACGCCAUGCCACCGCGGGAAGCCUGAGCUUCACUCGCCGCCACCUUCCAGCGCUGCCGCCCCGGGAUCCAGCCGCCACCGACAGGACGCGCCGCCCACGUGCAGCAGGCCGGAGGAGCCCCCCGAUCCANNNNNNNNNNNNNNNNNNNNNNNNNNNNNNNNNNNNNNNNNNNNNNNNNNNNNNNNNNNNNNNNNNNNNNNNNNNNNNNNNNNNNNNNNNNNNNNNNNNNNNNNNNNNNNNNNNNNNNNNNNNNNNNNNNNNNNNNNNNNNNNNNNNNNNNNNNNNNNNNNNNNNNNNNNNNNNNNNNNNNNNNNNNNNNNNNNNNNNNNNNNNNNNNNNNNNNNNNNNNNNNNNNNNNNNNNNNNNNNNNNNNNNNNNNNNNNNNNNNNNNNNNNNNNNNNNNNNNNNNNNNNNNNNNNNNNNNNNNNNNNNNNNNNNNNNNNNNNNNNNNNNNNNNNNNNNNNNNNNNNNNNNNNNNNNNNNNNNNNNNNNNNNNNNNNNNNNNNNNNNNNNNNNNNNNNNNNNNNNNNNNNNNNNNNNNNNNNNNNNNNNNNNNNNNNNNNNNNNNNNNNNNNNNNNNNNNNNNNNNNNNNNNNNNNNNNNNNNNNNNNNNNNNNNNNNNNNNNNNNNNNNNNNNNNNNNNNNNNNNNNNNNNNNNNNNNNNNNNNNNNNNNNNNNNNNNNNNNNNNNNNNNNNNNNNNNNNNNNNNNNNNNNNNNNNNNNNNNNNNNNNNNNNNNNNNNNNNNNGGACCUGACCGCGGAGGACAACCACGUGCGUCACGGAGGCUAGCUCUCACGUGUGUUGCUUGUGUUGCAUAUCUGAGUUAUUUAUCCAAAACCACCACACUUAAAGCUAGGAUAACAACUUAGUAUCACAUUUAAGCCAGGGCACAAAAAACCAUCAGAAAUACGCCUAAGAGCAAGCACAAUAGGAUGAUGUAUGCAGGAUGUAAGACUUUAAAUAUUAGAGUUGGCAGAGAGAGAAGACAAGCGGGCUUCUAACUAACAGCCGGCUGUAGCACAUGCUCCUAGACAUUUUGUGAGAGAGAAAGGUGGGCCAUGUAUCAACUAGUACAAACUUAUAUGCAUCUAUUACACUUGCCGACUAUAACGUUGGCUAUAUUAUUAACCAUGCUCUAGUGCGUAACGCAGAGCACAAAGACUAGCCACAAUGGGUAGUAAUAUAGAGUAGUAACAUGGGUCUCUAUAGUGGGGAGUAACAUAUGUGUGGUAACAUGCAACACUUCAUUUAUUAGGCUAUAGACUCAUCUUGCCUUGAUAUGUGUGAUGUUACUCAUACUAGUAGUAACUAGCUAUGUUACCACAUGCCUCUCUUUUUUCAUUUAUUGCUUGCCAUAUUAUCUAUUUUAUCUAGAUAUGUGUGAUGUUACUACCUAUGUUACUCCUAUUGUGGGUAGUCUAAUAGUUUGAUUUGCCCAUGAAAAUAGCGAAACCGACAGGUUGGCCCCAUUUGUCGGGCUGACGUGGCCUGCCAAUGUGGAUUAUUCGCUGAGGUGGCCCAAGGCCCCACCUGUCAGAUGCAUCUCUUCUUCCCCUCUCUUCCCUAAAAAUACUCCACCACAGCCAUAUCCUGCACCGCUGCCGGAGCUCAACCCCGGCGAGCCACCCCACCACCGGCGAGCCGCCCCACCACCACAUACCAUCCGUGUCGAACCGCCCUGCUGGAGCUCGAUCUACCUCCAUGGAAGGCGGAUGCAACAUCAGGCACCAGCGGCCGCUCGGAUCCGUCUCGCAUCCACCCCGCCACCCAAACUGCUGCCUGGCGCCGGCGCCGAGUCGAAGAGGAGGACGACUACAUGAGAACUCUCCUUGUGUGUUCUUGCUUCCACCGCCACUUGCUGCUAGCUUGAGUAGGCGCACGGCCUAGGACUCUUGGUGGACGCGGCGAGCACGGGCAUGGCCAUGGUGCUCCAUGACGGCGCGCGCGGCCAAGGUUUCCCGGUGGACGCCGCGAGUACGGCCAUGUCCAUCGCGCUCCACGACGGCGCACGCGGGCAUGGCCUCCCAACGAGCGCCACAAGCACGUGCGUGGCCAUGGCGCUCCACAACGGCGGGCGCGGCCACGGCGCGCGCAAGUUCCCUAGGAAAGCUCGACGGAUCCAAGCACGUUGAGGGCUGGGGCAGCGCGGCGACGACGGGGCAGCGCAGCGAUGACGGGGUAGUGCAGCGAGGUCGAGUUCAUCCAUGGCAGCUGGCAUGGCAGCAGGUUCUUGUUUGAGAGAGAGAGACACGAGGAAUGAAGGAAAAGAAAGGGGCGGCGAGAGGAGCUCUAGCGGCUUGACAGUGGCAGCCAUGUCUGGGAUUACCGCCGACCAGCGGCUUGAUAAGCGCACAUUAGCUGUUUGAUGAAAUGCCCAGGAAGAAAAUGCCUAGGAGAAAAAGAAAAAAAGGAAAAAGAGAUAAACACUCGAGUCAUUGACAGGUGUGACCCUCGUCCAACUCAGCAAAUUGUCCACAUAAGCACGCCAUGUCAGCCCGACAGGUGGGCCCCACCUGUCAGUUUUGCUGUUUUCACGACUAAAUUCCAGCAUCAGUGCUCCGUGUUACGCAUUAGACGCAUUUUUUGUGGUUUUUUGUGCCCUGGCUUGAAUGUGGUAUCAAGUUGUUACCCUAACUCCAACUGUGGUGGUCCGCCUGAGCAAAUCGAUCUGUCGGCUGUCUGCGAAUAUGUGCAGCUACCUCACCUACUCCCUCCAUCCAUGAAUAAGACCUCCUCCAAUGCACUAGUGCUAAGAUAAGGUGCUAAGCACAUUAAAAAUCUAAGCAACUAAAGUCCCCAAUGCAAAGGUGCUUGGCUUGUUGUUGCUAAGCAUCCUUUAUUUAAUGAUUUAGCAACUAAAGCUGUCCAUGCAUUGGUGGGAUUCUUUCAUUUAAGUGUUUUCCCUAGGUUCCCGCGCUUGGCAUUGUGUUGACACCAGAUUUUGGCAUGGUCACGAAUCAGGGUUCGUAUGCAAAAGUUAGAGGCAACACUUCGCGGGCCGGCCCUGAGUGAGAAAGUAUUCGGCCUUUGCUGGCUGAAUGAAACCUUGUCGGGGUAAAACCUUGCCGAUGUGAGGGCUUACCGAUGUGGAAAGCUUGCCGGCGGAGAAGCCUGCCGGCGUGGAAAGCUUGCCGGCGAAGAAGCUUGCCGGUGUGAAAUCUUGUCGAGGGAGAAACCUUGCCGAAGAGGAACUCUUGCCGGGGUAGAAUCCUUGCUGAGGAGGAACUCUUGCUGGGGUAGAAACCUUGCCGAGCUAGGGAGAACCCUUGCCGGUGUAAAAACCUUGCCGGGGUGAAACCUUGUCGGUGCGGAAAGCUUACCCGGGUGGAAGGCCUGCCGGGGUGGAGGUUGUGAUAGUCAAUCCGACCAGAAGCUGAAGAUGGGCUCAAAUGAUUAUCUAGAUGGACUCAAAUGGAGAAGUGAUCUACAUGAAAGAGUUCCGUAUUAUUGAUAUGAACAUCUUUGAAAUUUGGGUUAUUGCCGUCGGAUUUCAUCUCGAAGGCCGAAACUAUGCUCGAAGUACCAAGAUCUUAUAUUCAAAGUACAGUUUAGCUGAUUAAGCCCCCAAGACGACCUCAAAUGAAAAAAAGAUCUACAAGGGUUGUCUUCGUCUCGUCGAAACGAUCGAUUUUGAUAUAAAAAUUGUUCAAAUCCGAGUUCGUAUGUAAAAGUUAGAGUAAUCGGAGUGCAGCCCUGUCACGAGGCGAGACGUGGCGCGCCCCAUCAGACACAUGUCUGACGGGUAGCGCGAGGAGAUAGCCUGUGUUGCGAGACCGAUCUGACCCUCAAGAUGAUAUCUGAUCAAAAAACCUUCAACAUGAAAGUUGUUCGUCUCAUCGAAACGGUUAAGAUUGCUUUUGGGCUUGUUUUCAUCCGAGAUCGUUUACCACCGCAAAAAGGACCCGCAAGGUGCAGCCAGUUUAAACCGAACAGUUUUGGAAAGUUCGGAUAAAACCAGUCCGAAUUUGACUAGGGUUUUGGACGUGAAUUGAUAUAAUUUUCUUGUAAGGAAAGCCUAGAUAAAUUCUUUGCUUGUACAGGAAGUCCAGCCGCCUCUUAUAUAUGUUGGGGGUGACGGCCGAUUGAAACAACACCAAUCGAAUCAAUCUAUCAAUUACACUUUUGUGUUCAUCUACUUUUACUCCUUACCCUUGUAUCUUUCUUUCUCGUUCUUCCUUCGUUCUUCGCGUUGGAGGGCAGCGAUCCACGAGGCUCUAGGGGUGAGCGAAUCGACCUAGGGCAGCCCAUAGCCGCCGCAAUCCCUGACGGGGUCCCUCCCGGGUGCGCGGGGUUUCGGGUCUGCAAAAGCGCCCGCCGGCUGUCCUGCGUAUCGCGCUGUUGGUCGGGUCUCCUUCGACGUGAGCUGCGGUGCAUCACCCCCGGCGUCGAGGGUACACAGGACGUGUUCGUGUGUCAACACACUUUUUGGCGACUCCGCUGGGGACGAAGCUUUGAACAGCCUCCAACCUGUUCUUGCUACGAGGGGAGCGUCAUCAAGCGGCUGCAAUCUACAACGGUAACAUGUAUCAUCAAUCUCCUUGCAUAGAUGCAAGUAGCCAUUAUGUUGAUGUUGCUAGAUCUUUCAACGGACAUGUGAUGUCGGCCAGCCCUAAUGAGCAAAGGCCGACUAGUUAUUCCAUUGGAGAAACUUGGAAUUUACAGAAUCGUAACAUGCAACUUAUGAAUCUGAACUUUCGUGCAUCGGCAACAUCUUUCAAUAUGCCGGUGAACAACACGAUUUGUUCGAGUGAUCAAUAUAGAACACCUCAUGUACAGGAGGGCAUCUCAAAGUUUUAUCCAUCGGCAACCGACUCGCAAUAUGCGGGUUCAUCCCCAAACAUGCCGAUGAAUGGGGGAAUCGGCCAUGCUUAUGUUAGCUAUUUGGCCAGUUAUCCUCAAACAUCAUAUACUACACCUCAUCAGAUUAAUUGUUCAGUGGCGUAUAAAACUAAAAAUAUUCAUGACUCAGCUCACCUUCACGGUCAUGGUCGAGUGAAUGGAGAUUCUAUAAGAGCAUAUGUGCCUAAUAUUGCAGGAGAUGAGGUGGCUCUGGCUGCAUUAAAAUUUUUAGCCCAAAAUAAGAAGAUUAGUGCUAUUUGCCUUGAGCAACAUGACAAGGGAUUGGUUCCUGAUUAUGAGGCAAUAAGAGCUAGGGUUUUGAAAGAAGACCAAGUGUUGCCGAUUGAUCAAAUUGUCGAGAGAAAAUAUUCAACAACGAUGCACAUGCCUUCACCUAUCAUUGCAGCAUGUUAUACACCCCCUAUACAAGCGCAAAAUUUCGGCAACAUCAAUUCAUUGCUGAAAAAUCCUAAAAGUAUUGGGGGGGCAAGCCGAUCCAAGCAGGGUUGAGUUUAAAGAAAAAUAUCUGGCCCAAGUGGACAAGAUCAAGCCAAAGCUCACAGGGAAUAGAGUCAACGAAUUUACUACACCUACCCUUGAGGAAUUACUAGCAGAAUAUCGAAAGGCCUACGAAGCACUUAAGAAGAAGCAUGGAGAGGGAUAUUUGCAAGAAUACGUCAAGUGCCUUCCUCCAUGUAGCAACCAUGUUGGCCCUUCUACACUGUUGAGGCAAGAUAAAAAAGAAGCUUUACAAGCAAACUAGCAAAAAAGGAUUCACUCGGCUAAUAUGGUGGAUUCGGUUGAAACCGGAUUGAGCAACGGGAUGUUUAAGGCCAAGUGCGUUGCAUCAUGCCGACCGAGUGCAUCGUUCCAGACGAGUGCAUCACCAGCUAAAGCCGAGUGCAUCAAGCCAACUAUUGCCUCGUGUACCAAAAUAGAAGAUGCAAGCUUGGCUGAGCAAAGGAACGACAAACGCAACAAAUUGGUUGUGCUCAAUUUUUCUGGAUGUAAGGAAGCUUACAUGCUACCUUAUGAGUUUCGUGCUAAAGAUAUUGAUGAGCAUCAAGAACACAGUAAUAUGGCUGAACACAGUUCAGUUAACGAUGAACAUCAAGACCAAGAAAAUGCAGCCAAGCAAAGUUCAACUGACAAAGAGCGUCCGAGUGAAAUCCACUCGGGCAAUCCGACUGAAAUAUACUCGGGCAAUCCGAGUGAUGAGGCACCAGAUCUAGAAAAAGAGGAAGAGGCGUUGGAAAAUUAUUCAGAAGUGGUUCGUACUAGAAGGGGUACUCUUUGAGGUCCUUGGUGUUGGUUGAAUAGAUGAGAUUGUGUGACGCAUAUCGUAUAAUCAUACCCACGGAUACUUGAGGUGACAUUGGAGUAUCUAGGUGACAUUAGGGUUUUGGUUGAUUUGUGUCUUAAGGUGUUAUUCUAGUACGAACUCUAGGGUUGUUUGUGACACUUAUAGGAAUAGCCCAACGGAUUGAUUGGAAAGAAUAACUUUGAGGUGGUUUCGUACCCUACCAUAAUCUCUUCGUUCGUUCUCCGCUAUUAGUGACUUUGGAGUGACUCUUUGUUGCAUAUUGAGGGAUGGUUAUGUGAUCCAAUUAUAUUAUUAUUGUUGAGGGAACUUACACUAGCGAAAGUAUGAACCCUAGGCCUUAUUUCCUAUCAUUGCAAUACCGUUUAUGCUCACUUUUAUCACUUGCUACCUUGCUGUUUUUAUAAUUUCAGAUUACAAAUACCUUUAUCUACUAUCCAUAUUGCACUUGUAUCACUAUCUCUUCGCCGAACUAGUGCACCUAUACAAUUUACCAUUGUAUUGGGUGUGUUGGGGACACAAGAGACUCUUUGUUAUUUGGUUGCAGGGUUGCUUGAGAGAGACCAUCUUCAUCCUACGUCUCCUACGGAUUGAUAAACCUUAGGUCAUCCAUUUGAGGGAAAUUUGCUACUGUCCUACAAACCUCUACACUUGGAGGCCCAACAACGUCUACAAGAAGAAGGUUGUGUAGUAGACAUCACCGACAUUCUCCCUCUUUAUGUAAACCUUGUAAAAUAAGAGAGAGCAGGCAUAAGUAUUGUGACAUAAUGUGUAAUAACAUCCCAUAAUGCAAUAAAUAUCGAUAUAAAAGCAUGAUGCAAAAUGGACGUAUCAGUGGGCCGGAUGACUAAGAGUCGUCGCGGCAAGCUCUACAUCAACGACGAUGGCUGGGGCCCCAAGGUCGGCUCAAUCGAGUACGGGUACCGGGUCCCCUUCGGCGGAAUCUGCAGGAAAUAUGCCCUAGAGGCAAUAAUAAAGUUAUUAUUUAUUUCCUUAUUUCAUGAUAAAUGUUUAUUAUUCAUGCUAGAAUUUUAUUAACCAGAAACUUGAUACAUGUGUGAAUACAUAGACAAACAGAAUGUCACUAGUAUGCCUCUACCUGACUAGCUCGUUGAAUCAAAGAUGGUUAAGUUUCCUAGCCAUAGACAUGAGUUGUCAUUUGAUUAACGGAAUCACAUCAUUAGAGAAUGAUGUGAUUGACUUGACCCAUUUUGUUAUCUUAGCACUUGAUCGUUUAGUAUGUUGCUAUUGCUUUCUUCAUGACUUAUACAUGUUCCUAUGACUAUGAGAUUAUGCAACUCUCUUUUACCGGAGGAACACUUUGUGUGCUACCAAAUGUCACAACGUAACUGGGUGAUUAUAAAGGUGCUCUACAGGUGUCUCCAAAGGUACUUAUUGAGUUGGCAUAUUUCGAGAUUAGGAUUUGUCACUCCGAUUGUCGGAGAGGUAUUUCUGGGCCCUCUCGAUAAUGCACAUCACUAUAAGCCUUGCAAGCAUUGUGACUAAUGAGUUAGUUGCGGGAUGAUGCAUUACGGAAUGAGUAAAGAGACUUGCCGGUAACGAGAUUGAACUAGGUAUUGAGAUACCGACGGUCGAAUCUUGGGCAAGUAACAUACUGAUGACAGAGGGAACAACGUAUGUUGUUAUGCGGUUUGACCGAUAAAGAUCUUCGUAGAAUAUGUAGGAACCAAUAUGAGCGCCCAGGUUCCGCUAUUGGUUAUUGACCGGAGACAUGUCUCGGUCAUGUCUACAUAGUUCUCGAACCCGUAGGGUCCGCACGCUUAACGUUCGGUGAUGAUCGGUAUUAUGAGUUUAUGUGAUUUGAUGUACCGAAAGUAGUUCGGAGUCCCGGAUGAGAUCGGGGACAUGACGAGGAGUCUCGAAAUGGUCGAGACGUAAAGAUCGAUAUAUUGGACGACUAUAUUCGGACAUCAGAAAGGUUCCGAGUGGUUCGGGUAUUUUUUGGCAUACCGGAGAGUUACGGGAAUACGGGGGAGAAGUAUUGGGCCUAAUGGGCCAAGUGGUGGAAGAGAGGAGGCAGGGUGCGCGGCACCCCUAGCCCAAACCGAAUUGGACUAGGGGGCCGGCCCCCCUUUCCUCCUUUCCUCCCUCUCCUUCCUUCUCCCCUUCCCCCUUCCUUUCCUCCUCCUAGUAGGAGUAGGAAAGGGGAGUCCUACUCCUACUAGGAGGAGGACUCCUCCUCCUGGCGCGCUAGAAAGUUGAUCCUUUAUAUACGGGGGCAGGGGGCACCCUAGAAAGUUGAUCAUUGAUCCCUUAGCCGUGUCUCCACCAUAAUCCACCUCGAUCAUAUCGUACCGGUGCUUAGGCGAAGCCCUGCGUUGGUAGCAACAUCAUCACCGUCAUCACGCUAUCGUGCUGACGGAACUCUCCCGUGAAGCUCUGCUGGAUCGGAGUUCGUGGGACGUCAUCGAUGUUAUAUGCACGAGUAGAACACAAGUGAGUUGUGGGCGAUACAAGUCAUAUUGCUUACCAGCAUGUCACACUUUGGUUCGGCGGUAUUGUUGGAUGAAGCGGCCCGGACCGACAUUACACGUACGCUUACGCGAGACUGGUUCUAUUGACGUGCUUUGCACACAGGUGGCUGGCGGGUGUCAGUUUCUCCAACUUUAGUUGAACCGAGUGUGGCUACGCCCGGUCCUUGAGAAGGUUAAAACAUCACUAACUUGACGAACUAUCCUUGUGGUUUUGAUGCGUAGGUAAGAAUGGUUCUUGCUAAGCCCGUAACAGCCACGUAAAACUUGCAACAACAAAGUAGAGGACAUCUAACUUGUUUUUGCAAGGCAUGUUGUGAUGUGAUAUGGUCAAGACGUGAUGAGAUAUAAAUUGUUGUAUGAGAUGAUCAUGUUUUAUUGAAGUUGUCGGCAACUGGAAGAAGCCUUAUGGUUGUCUCUUUAUUGCAUAAGAUGCAAGCGCCAAAUAAUUGCUUUACUUUAUCACUAUGCGAUAGCAAUAGUUGCAAGAGCAAUAGUUGGCGAGACAACCAUGUGAUGACACAUUGAUAAAUAUCAAGAUGAUGGAGAUCAUGGUGUCAUGCCGGUGACGAUGGAAAUUAUGAUGAUACUUUAGAGAUGGAGAUCAAAGGCGCAAUAUGAUCAUGGCCAUAUCAUGUCGCAUAUUUUGAUUGCAUGUGAUGUUUAUCUUUUAUACAUCUUAUUUUGCUUAGUUCGGCGGUAGCAUUAUAAGAUGGUCUCUCACUAAAUUUCAAGGUAAAAGUAUUCUCCCUGAGUAUGCACCGUUGUCAAAGUUCGCCGUGCCGAGACACCACGUGAUGAUCGGGUGUGAUAAGCUCUAUGUUCAUCUACAACGGGUGCAAGAAAGUUUUGCACACGCAGAAUACUCGAGUUAAACUUGACGAGCCUAGCAUAUGCAGAUAUGGCCUAGGAACACUGGAGACCGAAAGGUCGAGUGUGAAUCAUAUAGUAGAUAUGAUCAACAUAGUGAUGUUCACCAUUGAAAACUACUCCAUCUCACGUGAUGAUCGGACAUGGUUUAGUUGAUUUGGAUCACGUGGUCAUUUAGAUGACUAGAGGGAUGUCUAUCUAAGUGGGAGUUCUUAAGUAAUAUGAUUAAUUGAACUUUAAUUUAUCAUGAACUUAGUCUGAUAGUAUUUGUAUAACUAUGUUGUAGAUCAAUAGCUCGUGAUGUUGCUCCCCGUUUAUUUUUAAUAUGUUCCUAGAGAAAAAUUAUGUUGAAAGAUGUUAGUAGCAAUGAUGCGGAUUGGAUCCAUGAUCUAAGGAUUAUCCUCAUUGCUGCACAGAAGAAUUAUGUCCUUGAUGCACCGCUAGGUGACAGACCGAUUACAGGAGCAGAUACAGAUGUUAUGAACGUUUGGCAAGCUCGAUAUGAUGACUACUUGAUAGUUUAGUGCACCAUGCUUUACGGCUUAGAAUCGGGGCUUCAAAGACGUUUUGAACGCCACAGAACAUAUAAGAUGUUCUAAUAGUUGAAAUUGGUAUUUCAUACUCAUGCCCGUGUCAAGAGGUAUGAGACCUCUGACAGUACUUUGCCUACAAGAUGGAGGAGAAUAGAUCAACCAGUGAGCAUGUACUCAGAUUGUCUGGGUACUACAAUUGCUUGAAUCAAGUGGGAGUUAAUCUUCCAGAUAAGAUAGUAAUUAACAAAGUUCUCUAGUCACUAUCACCAAGUUACUAGAACUUCAUGAUGAACUAUAAUAUGCAAAGGAUGACGAAAGUAAUUCUCGAGCUCUUCGCGAUGCUGAAAUUGGCGAAGAUAGAAAUCAAGAAAAACAUCAAGUGUUGAUGGUUGACAAGACCACUAGUUUCAAGAAAAGGGGCAAAUGGAAGAAGGGGAACUUCAAGAAGAAUGGCAAGCAAGUUGUUGCUCAAGUGAAGAAGCCCAAGUUUGGACCUAAGCAUGAGACUAAGUGCUUCUUGUUCGCACACAAACACGUCACCGUGUACCUCCAAUGCCGAGGGUGAUGCACCGCAGCUCACGUCGAAGGAGACCCGGCCGGAAGCGUGGUAUGCAGGCAAUCCAGCAGGCGCUUUUGAAGACCCGAAACCCCACACGCCCGGGAGGGACCCCGUCUGAAUGUGUAGCAGCUAUGGGCUGCCAUAGGUCGACCUGAUCGCCCCUAGGGCCUCGAGGUUCGCCGCCCUGCAAAGAAGAAGAAUAGAUGAAGAACGAGGAAGAAGAAGAACUAGGGUUAAGGAGAAAAGAUAAAGGAUAAAAAGUGAUAGAUGAUUUGAUCAAUUGUAUGUUGUUCAAUCGGCCGUCACCCCUUAGAUGUAUAAGAGGUGGCUGGACUUCCCAUGCAAGGAAAAGGCUUGAAUUCACGUCGAAAACCCUAGUCAAAUUUGGAUUGGUUUUGUCCGAACUUUCCAAAACUGUUCGGUUUAAACUGGCUGCACCUUACGGGUCUUUUUUGUGGUGGUAAACGAUCUCGUAUGAAAACGAGCCCAAAAGCAAUCUUGACCGUUUCGACAAGACGAACAACUUUUGUGUUGAACGUUUUUUAAUCAGAGGUCAUCUUGAGGAUCAAAUCAGUCGCGCAAAACAGGCUAUUCCCUCGCGCUACCCAUCACACAUGUGUCUGGUGGGGCGCGCCACAUCUCGCCUCGUGACAGGGCUGCACUCCGAUUUGGACGAUUUUUAUAUCAAAAUCGACCGUUUCGACGAGAAGAAGACAAUUCGUGUAGACCAUUUUUCCAUAUGAGGCAGUCUUGAGGGCGUAAUCAGCUGAAUAGUGUUCUGAAUACAAAAUCUCAGAACUUCGAACAUAACUUCGGCCUUAGAGAUGAGACCGGAUGGCUAUGGCGCAAAUAUCAAAGUUUCUCCUUUUGACGAUACGGAACUUUCUCACAUUGAGCACUUUUCCAUUUGAGGUCUUCUUAAUUAUGCUUUUGACCAUGCCAAAAUCUGGUGUCAACACAUGCCCCCCUGUUUUUCGGCAAAGCAUGUGUGCCGAAAAAUAACUUGCGCAUAGCUUGUUCUAAGGACGAUGCCAACACUCCAUCGGCCAUUUUGCAUGUUCUUAGAACGAUAAGUAUAUAUCGGCCAUUGCUUGUUUGAACCUCUUGAUGCAAACUUCGGUGAAAACUUCUCAGCUUCUAUAACAAUCCAGUGAUAAGGUUCCAUAGAUCAAAACCAUCCCCCGAACCAUAUUAUUCCCCCUUUUGCUAGGAUUUUGCAGAUAAUCAAGAAUGGACUUCCUUCAAUCCUUACUUCAUCUCAUGAUAAACUAAAAGUGAUUCGUCAAAACAUUUAUAGCUUUUAUUGUUGUACUACUCAUAACAAAUCACCGAAAGCCUCAAUAUGUAUAGCACCUAUAGCAAGGAAAAGCUCCAAUCCGAAUAACAAUGCAUAUUUGGCGUUGAUCAUUUGUGCAUAAAUAUUUUAAGCGGCAUGAGGUUUCACAAAAUAGCACCAUAAGGAGAUAUAUAAACAACACCAACACCUUGGCCAUUGCUACAAAUUUGACCAUCAAUAUAUAACCGCCAUGGUACUAGAGAGAUCAAGCUAAAACCAAUAUUAUGUAUGACAUUAAUCCGAUGUUCAGUAAUAAAAUCAACUAUGAUUUGGCCUUUUAUAGAUAUCAAAGAUGCAUAAGCCAAAUCGUAUCCAAACAAAGUAUAAGCCCACUAACCAAUUCUACAGCUAUGAAUUGGUCUAUGCAGCAUAUAUUCAAUGAUAUCGGUCAAGAUGUCUCAACUCCAUUCAAUCAUAAUAUAGGCAUGCAUAUAAAUUUCCAUGAGCACGUACCUUGUCUCGCUCUCCAAUCGAACUAAGCACGAUGUUAGAGUACUACACCGGCCAUGCGUUGACAUAAUCUUAGGACGAUAGAUAAAUAUCGGCCAUUACCAUGUAAACUUCAUUCAAAGCACAUAUAGUUGAAAUAAAUAAAUGAAAUGACAAAUCAAGUAUUUCAUCCCUUUGGAUCAGCAACAAACUUGUAGCUAAUCAAAUGUAUAGUGACUUGGUAAUACCCUUUCAUGACGUAAGAAAUUAUAUUGCAUCCAUGGAUUAAAAUAAGCCCAUUGAGGGUUACCAAUCAUACCUAAUGACAAAUUCCAUGACAUAGGCGUUAAUGGCAUAGUUGAAGAAUAUGGAUAAUGUGUAGACCAAGAAUGUUGAAACCUUCGGCUUGGUCCUUCAUAGUUUUCACUCUUUUCCUUCUUCACCUUUGCCGCACUUAUUGUAAUGUAAGCUUGCACAUAAUUCUUAUUUUGAGCACUUCCUUUGGGAACCCGUGCCAUGUUCCUUUCUUCAAGUUCUUGUGCACUAAGUUUUUGUAAUUUCUUCUUUUGCCAAUACGAUGAGCCGAGUGGGUAUCUCGGCUGCGAUUCUGUUUUGACCAAUGACAACUCUUUUUCGGCCUUGUGCACUCUCAACUUCUUUUCUUCAGAUUUGGCACUUUGACUUUCAAUAAUUGGUUGCUUCAUCUCAUUGCCUUUAGUAGCCAAUGUCAACACUUUAAUUGGCUCUUUGUUAUUUGAGAUCAAAUCUGAAGUAGCACACUUACGACCAUCUCUUUUAACACGGUACACUUGUUUGACCACCUCUUUCUUCUUCUUUGAGCUCCGGACCAAUUCCUUAUGAUUGAAACGGUCUUUAACAUAUAAUUGUUCAAAUGUUGAUCUUCUCGGAGAUGCAUAAUAUGAGUGAGAUGGUCUAAAAUAAGAUGGAGAGUGUACCCUUGUAUCAUACCUGUCCCAUGAUGGAUAUGGAUCUACAUGAGCAUAGGGAUGCAUCCACGGCAUUGGCACUGGCAGCCCAAAAUAAGGAUAUGAAUAUGUUGCAUUAAAAUGCUUGGUUUGCCAAUACCAUCCUCAUAUUUGUGCCUUGGGGACGGUCUUGGUUUCUUUGCAUGAUCUGGUCGAUAAGCAUUCUUAUCUUCACUCUUCUUUUGAUAUUUAUCCAAUAGUUCAGUGAAGGUGAUUUUUGAUCUCUUACACUGGCGCUUAUUUCGGCCUUUGUUUUCUUUUGGUUCGCUUUCAUCGAUCACUGGAUUUGCUUGUUGCCCCCCAGUCCUUAGCAUCUUCAUUGUAGCUUCGAUUGAAUUCUCGCCCUCAAGAUUAUGUUCAUUAUGCUCUUCAAAAACUUCUUUACUUGAAAGCUUGAUCCCAUCAUCUGCAGCUUUUACCUUCUCUUAAAAUGGAUCGUCUUGAAGCAGCCGAUGCAAAAAAAUUCUGCCAUCGGGACCAAUCAGAAUAGACUGGUCAUCUCUUGGUGUCUCAACAAAUUUCAAUCGUCCUUUAUCAAUGGCUGAUUUAACUAUUUGACGAAACAUGUUACAAUCCUCAAAGUUAUGCUUGGAUGAAUCAUGCAACUUACAAUACAUUCGUCCCUGGACAAAUGGCUCAACAUGAUGAUCAAGAAUUCUAAUAUAAUUAUUUCUCAACAACAAAUCAAAUAUUUGAUCACACAUGCUUGAAUUGAAGGUAAACUUUUUAUUCUCUAGCCGAUCUUGUUGUGAGAACGGCUUUGGAGUUAAGCAGACGAAUGGUUCAGAUUUUGCAUCACCCCAUUCGGCUAUGCAUUGUCUUUCGAUAAGAAACUAUACUGGCAUCGGUUUGCUCCGAAGAUUUUAACGUUGGCUUUCAAUUUUUGAAACCAAAAUAGCUAGAACAUACAUGUCUCAAUUGAGACCAAGUGUAAGCCAAGUAAGAAAUAAGCAGAGCUACCCAAUUAGAUAUGAGCAUUAGAUAAAGCAAUGGGGAAAGCCUUGGCUGCAAUAAUUUUUCGCAAUCGGUCUUUUUGAAUGGUGCAAUAUGUUGACCGAUAUGCUUUGUGACAAUCUGAUUGCUAACAGAUAAAUUACCCUUCUUCAUUGGUCUCUCAAUAUUUGUUAUGAAGAUUUUUCUAAUAUAUGCAUCAACAACUAAGUCAUGACCAAAUCUAAAAACAGGUAAAUUAAUUGCUAGACAUACAUCUUCAAAUAUGUUGGGAGAGCAUGAUGGUGGUGUGACUUGAAGAAUAUCUUGCUCUGCCUUCGGAUAGCUCCCCAGUGCCUUGUCAUCAUCUUUCUCUUGAUUUAGUGCAUCAUUAGUUUGAAGAACUUCGUCCACCAAACUUUCUUCGGCCACUCGUUCUUGUUCUUGAAGCUCAUCAAUUUCUAUGGCACGAAACUCAUAGGGCAGGAAGUAGGUUCCAUUAACUUCAGAAAAAUCAAGUAUGGUUGUCUUGCUAUACUUUCCAUGCCCUUUCUCAACAAUGUUUGCCUCUUUGGAUUUGAUGGAUUCGGAAUAUAUACUACUUGAUUCGGCUUUUUCAACCGAAGCACUUUUAGUUUCCGAAUCAUCAUUCUUUUCACCAGGUUAUAUCAAUUGGCAAGGAUUCUUUUCUUUGAGCUAAUUCCCUAUCAAUUCUUUCUUGGCGAAGUACUUGCACCCUAUCACGCAAAGCUUUAACUCUCCUCUCAAUUUCAGUCCGUCCGCUCUAGAUUAGUUUGCCCCCCAAUGCUUUUAGGAUCUUUCGGCAAUGAAGUUUUAGUGUUGCUGAAAUUUUGCAAUUGUGUAGGGGGUAUAUAAUAUGUUGUGGUACUAGGUAGAGGUGUAUGCACUGUUGUAUAACCAUAUGCUCUCUCACCAAUGCUAUCAAUUGAUGAGGUUUCAUCUUCCUGCAAAACUCUAGCCUUUAUUGCAGUAUAAUCAGGAAACAACCCAUUUUCAUAUUGUUCAAGGUAAAGAGCACUAAUUCUCUUGUUUUGUGUCAAGCUCUUUUUUAAUGCAGCCAUAACCGUUUCUGGAAGGGAUUGCUCCGCAAUACUUUCAGAUUCUUUCGGCAAUGAUUUGUGAGUGUUGCCGAAAUUCUUGAAUUGCAUAGAGUAUGCAUUAUAUGCUACAGUAUUUGAUGACGACACAUGUGUUCCUGUAAAAGUUUCACUUAUUCGGCUAACCUCUGAGGUUUGUUAGACAUGUCAUCUCUGACCUCUGUGUGCAUUUGUUAUGACCGGCUUGGUCUAUUCUAGGAAGAGGCCCACCGGGCAUUAGUAUUAGGGGCUUGGCCCACAAGUUAUCUUAGGCAAAUUAUCUUAGGAAAGUGUCCACUCCCUCCUUGCCCCUACAACCUACGUAGUAGAGCCGGUAGGAACCCUAGUCCUACCAAUUUGGUAAUCAGAGACCACGUUGCGAUCAUGUCGCUGCCGCCAUCACCGCCGCCGCUGCCCGUCGGUACCACCGCGCCCAUGAUGAUGGCGCCAAUCAUCACCGUGCUGACCACAUCCGCCGGGACCUCGCUGGCGUGUCCCAUCUCCUCCUCGGCACCGCCAUCUCCGGGCGCAUCUGCACCAUCGCUGGUGGCCGCCUUGUCUCUGGAGCAACUCGCCGCCACGCUACAUCACCUCGUCACCGCCGUCCACGGUCUUCAGCUCCAACAGCAAUAUGGGGCCGGGGCCUACGCUCACCCGCUGUCGGCCCCGAUCGCCGCCCCUGGUCUUCUCCUAUAGCAGCAGCCGCAGUACAGGGGCGGGGCGGGCCCCUUCACGCCACCACCAGGACCGCACCAGGGCGCGCCCGCGUACGGCGGGUCCCCGUUCUGGCCGAUCCAGGCGGGCUUGGCAUCCGGGCCAGCGCCGGCUGCGGCGCCCCUCUGGCCUUUGCCGCCGGCAACCUCGGCCGCCUCCUGGCUGCAGCAGCCGCCGCCCACCGUCUGGCCGGUUCAGCAGACGCCGUCCCCCGCAUGGCCGGUCCAGCAGCCGUCGCCGCCGGCGUCCCAGGUCCUGCUUCCACCGCCGUUCUCCGCGCCCUCAUCAUCCGGGACCAGCUCGGGCGCGGCCUCGACUACCGGGUUACCGAUCCAUCAGGUCCGGUUUCCCCCGUCCCCGUCCCCCCUGCCACCAUGGGCGGCGGGGUCUUCGCCUUCGCCGGUCUACACCACGACCCCGGUUGAGCCGACUCCGUUCCCGCAGUUCGGCGGGCCAUCCGGCCCCGCCGGCCCGUACCCGGACUACUCCGAUCAGGCACCCCCUGCUUCACUGUUCUGAGCCCCCGAGCCUGCUCGGCACGGCGGGCCGCAGCAGACACCGCCGCGGUUCACCAAACUCGACUUCGCCACCAACGAGGGCACGGAGGACCCCCUCAACUGGCUCAACCAGUGCGAGCAGUUCUUUCGAGGGCAGCGGACGCUCGCUUCAGAUCGUACCUGGCUCGCAUCCUAUCAUCUUCGAGGCGCAGCGCAGACCUGGUACUACGCCCUUGAGCAGGACGAGGGCGGCAUGCCACCGUGGGAGCGCUUCCGGGAGCUCUGUCUCCUCCGUUUUGGGCCUCCUAUCCGCGGGAGCCGACUGGCGGCCCUCGGCCGUUUACCAUUCACAUCUACGGUGCAGGACUAUGCCGACCGCUUCUAGGCCCUGGCGUGCCACGCGCCGGGCGUCUCCGCGACCCAGCGCGCCGAGCUCUUUGUGGGCGGUCUGCCGGACCAUAUCCGCAUGGACGUCGAGCUCCGGGAUCCCCCCGACCUCUAGACGGCCAUGUACUAUGCCCGGGCCUUCGAGCGGCGGGCCCAGGCACUGCAGCAGCCACUCGGACGGAGCGGUCGCCAGCCCAGUUGGCCAGCACCGACUUCCUCAGCCCCGGGUCGGCCUCUCCCAGCCGUGACGGCCACACCCCCGGCCGCCACACGGCCCUUCCGUCGGCUGUCACCGGCCGAGCAGCAGGAGCGUCGCCGUCAGGGUCUCUGCUUCAACUGCGAUGAGCCCUAUACGCCGACCCAUGUCUGCCCCCGCCUCUUUUAUUUAGAGACGGUCGACUACACCGAGGAGGACGACUUGCCCGACCCGUUACAUCCGCCUGCGGCGCCCGAGGACACGGCCGCGGAUUCCGCAGCAACGGCGUGCAUCGUCUCCCUUCACGCCCUGGCCGGCAUCCGGGGUGAGCGGACCAUGCUGCUGCCCGUGACGAUCCAUGGCGAGCGACUGGUGGCCCUGCUGGAUACGGGCUCCACACACAACUUUCUGCCCGAGUCGACCAUGCGUCGGCUAGCCCUCCCAACGACGGGCGGGGAGCGCCUGCGGAUCACAGUGGCGAACGGCGAUCGCCUCCGGUGCCAUGGGCUAGCCCGCGACGUUCCCAUCUCCAUCGGCGGCGAACACUUUUCCAUCACCUGUGUAGGGAUCGAUCUGGGCUGCUUCGACUUCAUCCUCGGGGUGGACUUUCUCCGGACCCUCGGCCCCAUCCUGUGGGAUUUCGACGCGCUCACGAUGACAUUCUGGCGGCAGGGCCGCCGCAUCCGGUGGGAGGGCAUUGGGGGCGCCGCGCCUGCCGUGCCACACCUCCAGCUGGCUGCCGCGUCCUCGGAGGCCGAGCACCCCCUGCUGGAUUCUCUUCUGCAGCAGCACAGCGACCUCUUCGACGAUCCGCGGGGUCUUCCACCGGCCCGGGUGUACGACCAUCAUAUUCACCUCGUACCAGGCUCCACUCCGGUGGCGGUACGGCCCUACCGCUACCCCCAGCUGCAGAAGGAUGAGUUGGAGCGCCAAUGUGCCCUGAUGCUCGCCGCAGGCAUCAUCCGGAUCUCCACAUCGCCCUUCACGGCGCCGGUGCUUCUCGUCCGUAAGUCAGACGGCACAUGGCGCUUCUGCAUCGACUACCGCGCCCUCAACGCACUCACGCUCAAGGACAAGUUCCCUAUACCGGUGGUCGACGAGCUCUUGGAUGAGCUCCAUGGGGCACGCUUCUUCACCAAGCUCGAUCUCCGGUCGGGCUAUCAUCAGGUGCGCAUGCAUCCGGACGACAUCGCCAAGACGGCGUUUUGCACCCACCAUGGCGACUUCGAGUUCUUGGUGAUGCCUUUCGGCCUCGCCAACGCCCCGGCGACGUUCCAGGCCCUGAUGAACGACGUCCUUCGACCCUACUUACGGCGGUUUGUGCUUGUUUUCUUUGAUGACAUUCUUAUCUACAGCGCCACCUGGGCCGAACAUCUCCAGCACGUCGCCAUCGUCUUCAACGAGCUUCAGGCGCACCACCUCCACCUUAAGCGCUCGAAGUGCUCGUUCGGGACGCCUACCGUCGCCUACCUCGGCCAUGUCAUCUCGGCCGACGGGGUGGCUAUGGACGCCGAUAAGGUGGCGGCCGUCACCGCCGGGCCGACGCCUCACUCGCCGCGGGCUCUCCGCAGGUUCCUCGGACUCGCCGGCUACUACCGAAAAUUUAUCCGGGAGUUCGGACUCAUCGCGGCGCCCCUCACGCGGUUGCUUCGCCGCGACGCCUUCACCUGGGACGACGAGGCGACGACGGUGUUCGAGGCCCUCAAGGGGGCCCUCACGACGGGCCCCGUCCUCAAGAUGCCCGACUUUGACCGUCCGUUCGUGGUGGACUGUGACGCCUCGGGCGCCGGGUUCGGCGCCGUACUUCAUCAGGGCGAUGGGCCCCUCGCCUUCUUCAGCCGGCCUUUCGCUCCGCGCCAUCUUAAGUUGGCCGCUUACGAGCGGGAGCUCCUUGGCCUAGUCCAGGUCGUGCGUCAUUGGCGGCCAUACUUGUGGGGGCGGACCUUCCACAUUCGCACGGACCACUACAGCCUGAAGUUCAUCCUGGAUCAAUGGCUGCCGACCGUUCCGCAGCACCAGUGGAUCAGCAAGCUCUUCGGCUUUGACUUCUCCGUCGAGUAUCGGCCAGGCCGUCUUAACACCGUGGCCGACGCGCUGUCCCGUCGCGAUUCCGACCUCGCGCCACCCGCCGACGUGUCCGCCGGGACGGCCCUGUGCAUCCGCUCCGGGCCAUCGUCCGGUCUCUUCACCGACAUUCGACGCGCCACUGCGAUGGCCGAUGACGCCGCACUUCUUCAGCAGCAGCUCGCGGACGGCGACUUGGAGGAGCCCUGGCGCUUCUCUGACGGACUGCUCCUCCAUGAACGCCGGAUCUUUGUUCCGGCGCAUGACGAUCUCCGUCACCAGGUGUUGCAGCUCGCUCACUCGGCGGGCCAUGAGGGUGUGCAGAAAACCCUCCAUCGUCUUCGCGCCGAAUUCUACAUCCCUGGCGAUCGUGCCCUGGUCCGCGACUGGGUUCGGUCUUGUCAGACUUGCCAGCGCAACAAGACAGAGACCCUGAGGCCGGCGGGGCUCCUUCAGCCCUUGCAGGUGCCGUCUCAGGUUUGGGCAGAUAUCUCCUUGGACUUCAUCAAGGGCCUUCCCAAGGUGGGGGGCAAGUCAGUCAUCCUCACGGUGGUUGAUCGCUUCUCUAUGUACGCCCACUUCAUCGCGCUGGGCCAUCCGUACACGGCGGCGUCCGUAGCCCGGGCCUUCUUCGAUGGCAUAGUCCGUCUACACGGGUUUCCGACGUCGAUCGUCAGUGAUCGGGACCCUGUCUUCACGGGCCAUGUCUGGCGCGACCUCUUCAGGAUGGCGGGUGUCCAGCUCCGCCUGAGUACGGCGUUCCAUCCUCAGACGGACGGUCAGUCUGAGGUGGUUAACAAGGUCAUUGCCAUGUAUUUGCGUUGUGUGACAGGUGAUCGGCCUCGCGCUUGGGUGGACUGGCUCUUUUGGGCGGAGUACUGCUACAACACUUCUUAUCACUCCGCCCUGCACGCGGCGCCAUUUGAGGUGGUCUAUGGUCGACCACCCCCGCCUAUACUUCCGGUCGACCCGGAGAUGGCUCGGACGGCGGUUGCGGGUGACCUUAUCCGCACCCGUGAUGAGAUGCUGGCUGAGGUCCGUCAGCGUCUCCUUCAGGCCCAGCAGACGGCCAAGCACUACUACGACGAUCAUCAUCGCGAGGCGGAGUUCGCAGUGGGUGACUGGGUGGGGCUCCGUCUUCUCCACCGCUCUACGCAGUCACUGGACCCGCGCGCAAAGCGCAAGCUUGGCCCUCGCUACGCCGGGCCAUUCCCUGUCGUGGAGCACAUUGGGAAGGUGGCCUAUCGUCUACAGCUUCCAGCCCGCGCCCGCGUCCACGACGUGUUCCGGCUGCUCAAGCCUUUCUGUGGCGAGCCACCGGCGGCUCCUCCGGCGCUUCCUCCAACCGCCGAUGGUCGCAUUCUUCCAGAGCCAGCAAAGGUGUUGCAGGCUCAGCUCCGUCGUGGCGUCUGGUUCGUCCUAAUUCAGUGGGCGGGCCUUCCGGAGGAGGAGGCUACUUGGGAGCAGCGUGAGGAAUUCCGUCAACACUAUCCAGACUUUCAGCUCGAGGACGAGCUGUUUGCGCAGGCGGGGAGAGAUGUUAUGACCGGCUUGGUCUAUUCUAGGAAGAGGCCCACCGGGCAUUAGUAUUAGGGGCUUGGCCCACAAGUUAUCUUAGGCAAAUUAUCUUAGGAAAGUUAUCUUAGACUAAAGUUAUGAAUACUCAUGUAAGACAUCGUUUUGAGGCAAGCAAUAAAGACUAUUAUUAUCUUUUGUUGCCCGGCUCCUAGAGGAGCCGGGCACCCUAGCCGCCGCAGCCAAGCCGCCGCCGCCCUCAACCCUAGCCGCGACGGCGCCCUGCCGCCGGCGCGCCCGUUCCUCGCCGCGUCCACUCCCUCCUUGCCCCUACAACCUACGCAGUAGAGCCGGUAGGAACCCUAGUCCUACCAGCAUUAUCAUCUCUAACUGUUGCUCAGCUUCUAAUGUUAGCUGCUCUGCUUUGCAUAUGACAGGGUCUGACCGUUUUCCCACAAGGAUACAGAAACCCCAAUGUUCCAGGGUGUACGAAGCGAAAGCAACCUGACUGGGCGCCUUCAGAUUUUGUUGAACAAGGACUUUGUGAAGAUUUUCUGCCUGCUGCAUCGACUAUGGUACAACUUGAGAACCUAUACGCUCAGUUACAGGAGCAUGCGUUAAAUGUUGGGGCCACUUCUUUCAAGUGCAAGAGCGAUAAAAGGGAGCGCACCCAUGUGUCUUCCUUUGUGGACAAAGAAACUCAGGUUACUGCUUUAAUCUUAUCGUUUCUGAAAUUCUUUCUAGGGAAUCUUACUGCUAACCAUUACCUUCUCUUUGACAUCAUACUUACCAUAUUAUCCGAUUCUGGAACAAGAAGCUAGGAAAGUACGUUGAUUUUCUGCGAUAGAAUGCAACCGGGUACAUAGUUGCUUUUCGGGCCUUCGCUGAUAUUAACGCGAUAAAAUACGCUCACUGGUGUUGCUUCAAGGACGACAAGCAGGUCCAAAGUGACUUUCCUGACACCACAUUUGAGGUCACAAAUUAUCAGGCGGGCUACAUAGAUGUGUACGUCAUUUACAAGUCACCUUCUCCUGCUGUCUUGAGUAUCUAUUUUUUCUUUCUUUUUUCCUAUUUUAUCUCUGACAAAGAAAAGAUGUGCAUUUUUUACAGUGCUGCGGUUGUCUUUGGUGUGGACACGGUCCAAUGAUACUUGAUGAGAUUUGCGCAGUACAUGAGGAGUAUGAUCAAGAAACAGUACAUGAGCAUCAUCACAAAACAAAAAAGCUGGUUAAACGUCUUCUGCACUUCUGUUUGUGUUGUUAGGUGAAGGUCCAAGGUUUGAUCUUAUCAAAGCGACUAUAUACUCAAGCAUAGAGAAGUUCUCUCACAAGUAUUGCCUAAAACAUCUUAGAUUAGCCGCUAUUUUGGAAGAAGUAAUUCAAAACUGGUCCAGUCUCUCAAAAACAACAUAUUUCCUAUUGCUUGUGCAUUAUGAAAAGAAGAUAAAGGCGAAGUGCCUUAGGGAGAGACAUGAUCCUGCUGAUAGUUCACUGCCACACUUUAGUCAUCGUCGACUAUUUUUGCAAUUUGAGGCACAGGCUAGGAUAGCACGGUACCGCUGCUUACAGGUGGAAGUCGGUGAAAAAAAGAUUCAGCAUGUCCUUAAAUUGAGAAAAGAUUCUGUGGAUGGGAAAUGGAUGUAUUAUGGGGAUGUAGCAUGUAAUCAGCUUCUUGGUGAUCAUCUGUCGCUUCUGAAGUAUCUGGACCAGUAUACUACUUCUGUGAUUAUGAGAGCUACUGGUUACCAGAAAGAACUGCACCCUACACUCUCUUCGUCAUCAGAAUCUGAUGAAAAGAACGAGAAAGGGAAAGACAAAGAGAAAGAGAAAGAGAAAGAGAAAGAGAGAGAGAGAGAGAGAGAGAGAGAGAGAGAGAGAGAGACGAAGUGGAUUACAAAAGAUGCAGAAUUUUGGAAGAAGUUCGCCGACUUCAAAGAGCAUCAUCAAAACUCUACGCUGUCUGCUACUCUUCACUUUGUCAAUGAUGCCCUCCCAUUCCUGCAACGUUGGGUUUUUGAAGCGGUCAAAGCUGAUUUGUAUGAGGAAGUCAAGGUUAUUUGUAGCAAGUUUAAAACUGCAUUGCAGAGGUAUAUUCAUCUAUUGUUGCUAGUUCCUGAUGUUUUCAUUGCUCUUCUAUCAUAGUAUGUUGCUCUUUUUGUCUAACAUCUUUGUUUCGUCAGAAUGAACGAGAUUGAAGCUGCGGGGUACGCUUGUGAUUGAUGGCCUGCCAGAAGGGUUGACAAACUGACAAAGCUGAAGCCUAUCUUCAAAUUUCUUAAUGAAAAUUGUCCAGAUUGGAGUCCGCCACAGCAAGAUCCAGUUGGACAGGCUGACCAACAGCAUGAUGAGGAUGAGGAGGAUGAACUAAUCAUGGCCAAAGGAAAGGGCGGCAAGGGCAGGAUGCAGUAUGUGAACCGUGAGGUCAAGGUCAAGGUCAAGGUCAAGCGGAAGCGGAAGGGCAAGGACAAGGACAAAAGCUAGUGUGUUGGUUUUACUGGUGCUGCACAUAGUUCUUGGUUAUACUUCUUCUGCACAUUAUUCUGGGUGGUUUUGAGUUUCCCCCUUGGAAGAUGGCCCAGUCAAUUAAUUGGGGGUGCUCUAAAAUUGCUUUCCAUGUUCUCUACCAUUUUGAAUUCGUUGAACUGAAAAUUGCAUUGCUCCUUGUGUUGCAAGUCCUAGUCAAAAGUUCAUUAUUACAAUUACCUUCAAGUGGAUCUGCUCUUUGCUUAUGGAAAAAAUUUCAGAGUGUGGUAGUCAGCAACAGUGUGAAUGGAAGGAGAUGCCUAAUUGUACCACAGUAGCAGUUGAUCAAGAUAUAAGAUGUGGGCAUGCCACUAGCGAGUCAGCCAUACCACCUGACAGUAAUAGUGUGUAAAAAUAUGAAACCCUAGAAUUAUGUGUUGUUGUAUGUUGUUUGAUCUGACCCUUGUGCAGGGUACAUAUAGGAGUACAAGAGGGGUAGAGACUUGGAGUACAAGACAAGUCACAUGUGGUUUAAACUAAUUCUAUCUUUAUCUCCUUAUCUCUAACUUAAACCCAAUUAUAUUUCUAACAUUCCCCCUCAGUCGUAGCGGGAGCGAAGCGGACGAGUACGAAUGGAUUUGAAGUCUUGCGCUUUCGUCGUCUUCUCCGCUGCGCCAUCAUCAACUGCGUCUCUGAUGGGUUGGCACCUAGGGCGGUGACUGCGUCCCCUUCUGGUGGAGUUGUUGCCGAUAUGUUGCUGUAGACGUAGCCAUUAAUGUCAAUGUCGAGGUAGCCGAUCAUGGUGAUGUAGCCGUGGUCGAGGUAGUCGUGGUCGAUGGUGUGGCCGUCAUGGAUGAUGAAGCCGCACAAAGCCGAAGGCGCAAAAAAAUGCGCUAUGGCGGGGCUGCAGACGUGGACGAUACACCUUGCGGAUGUCAGAGGGUGUCGUCGGCGAUGAGUCCGCCGGUUUUGCCAAGACCGGAGGAAGCCCAUCGAGCACACAUCGGUUUUGCCAGAACCGUGUGGCCAUAUAGGGUCGUCACUAUAGUGACGCCGUGUCGAUGCAGUCGUAUUGUCGUGGAUGACGCGGUCGAUGCCGUCGUCGUGGUCGCGCCUUGCAGAAAAAAAUCUGUCAGAGGACGCUAGUUGUCCAUCCUGUGGACGAGGCGGUGGCGGUGUGUCGACGAUGAUGUUGGUGAAGACCAUGUUGAUGAAGACCUUGGCGAUGAAGUGUCGGUGGUGCAGCGCCACCGACAUGUCGACAAUGAUGCGUCGCUUGGAGGCGUCCCUCGUGGCGACGGGGUGUCGAUGUCGUGUCGUGCUGAAGAAGUCGAUGAAGAAUUGCAUCUCGUUCCACACCGGCCUGGCGUGUGAACAGUGCAUAUUGAGGUCGCUUCUAGUAGGUGUGGUCGAUGAAGUAUGUUGGCUCGCGGACGGGCUAGUCGUACAGGUCGAUGAAGUGGCACAGGGUUGAUGCAGAGGCGUCGAUCGGUGGUGUAGAUGUCGAUGCAAUUGCAGCAGGCCGGCUCGGUGUAGAUGUGUUCGGCUUGGUGUAGUUCGGCUUGUUGGCGCGCAGGAGAUCGAUCGAGUCGGCCUGAUAGAGAUCGCGUCCGUGCGCGUGCAGUGUAGUCGAUGCAGAUCGUAAUUUGUGGGCUUGAUGCAGAUGGUUCAAUCGCUCGAUGCAGUUUGCCGUCGCGGUGCAGAUCGUUGUUGGUGUAGUCCCGAAACAGAAGUCGAUGUAGAGACAAUCCGUGUACGACCGGAGGCAUGGCCGACUAUCGGAGAUCCGAUCGAUCGAAGGCACCAGUAGUCGUCUGUAGACGCGUACGUGUAGACGAGACUGAAGCUUCAUCUGAGUGCAUGCACGUACCUCGGGCUACUGGUUGCUUCGUGUCCCACGUCCUGGGAGGCUGCGCAUGCACAUGGCCAAGUGCAUGAAUCAUAUGUGUGCGCAUCUGUUGAUGGAGCACUGCGCGUGUGUGCAUCCACCUCCACGACAAGCUCGCCAUACCUGUCUCUAUAGGUGCCGAGACAGCGCCGCCUUGGGUCGCGGCCGUAUAAGCCGCAUGCGGCCUGAAGUGAUCUGGACGAGGAUUUCUACACAACUUUCUCACCGAAUUUGAGGGUUGAGGGAUUUAUUGGUCGUGGCUACAGGAAACCAAUCUACUGGAAAUUCAAAAUUUGUGUAAUCUAACCUAUGAAUCGAUCUAAUCUAUAGAACCGAUCUCAUCUUUGACGAUCGGGUGCCCCGCCCCCAAGGAGAGGAGAUUAAUCUCCCCGGGAGCGGCGAGCUGCGGAAGCGGUGGAAGGUCCUAGGAUCGGCGUCGUUGGACAAACCGCUCUAAUACCAUGUAACAAUAUGAAACCCUAGAAUUAUGUGUUGUUGUAUGUUGUUUGAUCUGACCCUUAUGUAGGGUAUAUAUAGGAGUACAAGAGGGGUAGAGACUUGGAGUACAAGACAAGUCACAUGUGGUUUAAACUAAUUCUAUCUCUAUCUCCUUAUCUCUAACUUAAACCCAAUUAUAUUUCUAACAUAGUGCUUGGAAUCAGGUGGUCCGUUGGGAGGUACUACUCUUCAUGCUAUGGAAUCACAUAUGCUGCGAUUAUUUGUUCCUGUCUCAACCUCUCCUGGUUACACCAUUGUCAAUUAUCUGUGCAAUGUGAGCUUGAAUUGGUACUUGGGUGAGGUGCUCUGGGAUGUUAAGCAAUGGUGGUUGUAUGCAGUCAGCCCAAGCUUUCUUGAGACUUUAGGCAUGAGUGUUCUGAUAUGGGAAUUUCCUUGCAAGUGAGUGUUCAGAUCACCAGUACAGAUGGCAUGAGUGUUCUGAUCUGGGAAUUUUUAUCUCCUUGGAGUAACCUACAGGAAGGUGACACUAGUGGGACUGAAGCCAUGGAUUUCUUGGGAAUGUUUCUCUCUGGAAGAAUUUUCCAGCUUGCCAUAUUCUCUGUACUGGUGAUGUACGGAAGUGGUAGACGCACUUCAUUAUCUGCAGCUAUUUGAGGACAAAGUUGAAGCUUGGGUUUAGGAUGUUGUGCAACCUCCAUAGGAUUCCGGUGGCGCCAUACAACAUCGACUUGUGGGCAAGUCGAAUCUUAUGUGGGAGGGAUUGUUAGUGACCCUUCCUCUGACAUGGUGGGCCAUCGUCAUCAGGUGGGACCCAACACAGUUGGUACAAGGAGGUAACUAUAAGCUGGCGAGGAAGGACAUCAGGAAGCUAGGCUUGGAACAGAAUGACGGCUUUGGACGAGGCUUGUGUUGGCUAGGAUAGUUCCUGUUCAUCUUCUUCCUCAUGGUGAUUGAGUGGAAUAGAUAGGGAUCCUCAAAACUCCACUGGAAAUUUCCAGGUCUGAUAAGAGAUGGGGCAAUGAGUAGUGCACUCGUGAUGCUACAUGAUCAGAGAUCAGUGAUGGAAAUGGUCAAGCAUAUCACUAAUGCAGGUGUGAUGGACAUAUACAGCAAGAUACCUGAAGAUUUUUCAGAGGAAAUGCAUAGUGACUGCGAGUAUGCACAAGAGCAGCAACAACAUUCAGCUGGAGAAGGGCAGCAAGAACAUUCAGUUGGAGAAGAGCAGCAGCAACAUUCAGUGGAGCAGCAGCAACAUUCAGUGGAGCAGCAGGAAAGUGUAGGUGCAACUGAGCAGCAGUAUACUGCAAAUGCAGAGGAACAGCAGCAAGAGGCAGGUGCAGAGGAUCAUAUGGAAGAACCUUGGCAAUUUUCUGACAUGUAUUAUCAUCCUGGUAGGAUUUCUAACUUACCAGUGAGAAGAGGAAAAUCCGUUGUAGCUGAGGAGGAAGUAAACAUUGGUAAUCAUGAAUCUGAUAGUGACUAUGCUAUCCCCCUGCAGAGAGCAACAUCUCAGCAUCUGAUGAUGAAGUCUUGGAGCAUCUGAUGCAAGAAGAAGAGAAGAAGGUGAGAAACCACAGGGGAACAGGUUUUCAAAGAAAGGCAUUAAAAUUGGGGCGUGGAGUAUGUGAUCGUGAGCUCACAAGAGCUCGUUAUCUGUCCCGUCCAGUAUAACUUUGCGAUUCGUUGUAUUGAAUGCCUCUGACGGGUUGUGAGUCCAUCUAGAACAGAUAAAUUGAUAUAUGCAUGUGUACAGACCUGACUGGUGGGUCCUGUUCUACGCAGAUGUUGGGACGCCGCGGAUGGAGUGAGGCAGGGCCGUGGCUUGAGAUGCCACCGGUGUCCUGGUCCAUGGAUCAGAUCCUGUGCUCUCUGGUAACGACGGCAAUAGAUGGAGUAAAUGCAGGAGUGGGUUGCUGAGAGCAGCUGUCUCCUACCUCCCGAGAUUGGAUGCUCCAUUGGUGAAAGCGGCGAACCGGUGGAGGAGCCUCCUCCGACAAGGCGACUGGGCGCACCGGCGAGCAUGGAGUUCUUGAUGCAUCCAAUAAAUAGGUACUGAUCUGUUCGCUAUUGCUGCUGAUUCGCUACCGUUUUGAUUUAGGAUUUCCAGAAGAUUUGAUUUGUUUGCCGACUCUCUGUGCAAGCAGCAGAACUCUGCUAGAGGAGGUGAACGAGAACAACAUUGCCAUGGAGCCUCUUCACUACCCUGUGAGCACGCCGCCGGUGGUUGAGCUGCCGGCCAUGACGGCAUCAAAUGCAGACGGCUAGAUCUGUGCUGAGGACGCUGCUCCAGACGGGUGCAGUGCAGAUAAGGCUCAAGCUUCAGAGCACUUCAUAGAUCAGGUUGACCCGAAAACUCCUGGCAGGACGCAAUGGUAUGCAGAAUAAGAUUGAAAAAUAACUUCAUUUGGGUUCGAACAUUGAGAUGGCCCUAUGUUGUAAAGCUAUAGUGUACACAUAUAUAUUCCAGUAGUGAUUAGAAUCACUUAUUGAAUGUCCAAAACUGAGCUUGCGUAAAAAGAAUUAAGUCUGUACAAACAUGAUGUGUGAAGGAUGAUAAAUUUAGUCGCUUUCACUCUAAAAGGGAACCGAUUCUCUGAACAUAUUUUCAUGCUAGCAGGUUUAUUUCCUCCAGCUAAACACAAGGAAAAUGGGAGGCCUAACACAAGUAGGGAGAAGGCACUGUAUGAAGGGUUAAGUAAAUGGACCAGAUUCUGCAGCAUAUGUCGGCAGCAAGGUCACAAGCAAACGGCCUGUCCAGAUCGACGUACUGAAGCAGCCUCGCAAGCCAUCAAGGUAAGACUGAAGUAAUUGAUCAAUUUGGGGUACUUUAAUGAUCAGGUCCUUAGUUGUGUUCUAUCUGUAUAAUUAAGAUUUGUUGAGACUGUAUGAUUAUAACUUGUGUGUUACUCCUCUGCCUAGAAAAUAAAAUGCUUUUUAUUCGGCUUGCCUGGAUAGUUUCAGACUUAUAAGAGUGUUUGCCAAUGCUGAUGUUGUACUUUUUAUUACUGAAUUAAAUGUGUUGACUAUUAAUGAAUUGAUUCGAUGACUAGCUGUAGAUUGUGUUGUUCAGGUGAACUUGAUCCGCAGAUUUGAGGUGGUGUGUGAUACCAGUUAUUUCAAAAUCCAGCUGAUACAUGCUUUGAGUAACCAAAGACAGACAUAUGGCAUGUUUUGGGUCAAACAAGUUAAUUAAUGCAUUUAGUAGUGUUCCGUCAGGUGGAGCUAUCCUCGUGAGCGAGCUUGCAUUCGAAAUUCAAACAUCGUGGGCGGUAGAAGUGCAAAUGGUAAGAAACCUAUCUAUUAACUACAACAUCUUGAAGCUUUGGUUGCAUAGUGAUAACGUUAUGAAUUGAUGCAGAAAUGGAGGUGCCCUUCAUCGACUUGGUAACGAGUGUCCCGAUAACACAAACUGAGGAUCUUGGACCGGCGGCAAGUAUUCUCUACUCCCUCCGUCCCAUAAUGUAAGAUGUUUUUUGACACUGGGACGGAGUAGUAAAAAACAAUAGAAUAAGCUCGUGUAGAGGAUGGUAGACUAAGCUAUGCUGAUUGCAGAGGUGGAGGUGCCUUUCAUUGACUUGACCACAAGCAGUCUAGAUACAGAUGUGGACACAGGGGCUCCGCCUGGUAUGUCUGAUGCUCAUGUUGCAUAUGUUUGUUGAGCAAGAUCAAUCUUUGGAAACUGAUAAAAAAUGUCUUCUUGGUUAAACAAAUGACGCAGCGAGAUUGGCGCCUGUAAAGACAGAGGAUACAUCGGAUUGCCUAAAGUUUCAGACUGUCAUUGGUGGUAAGCAAGUUUGCAUAUGAACAUGUUCCAUGUAUGCGUUUUGCAAGGCUAUGUACAUUUGAAUAUGAGAAAACAACAUCUUGCAGGAGAACAAGUUAUUGGCUCUACCCCUGGCAAUUGAUGUACCUAUAGCAGCUCCUCACAGACGAGUAGAAGCAAUGCCAACAAUUCCGGCACAAGGUGGGUACACUGGAGGUAUAUUUCAAAACUGAUGUUCAUAAAUCACGUAGAUUCUGCUUGUAUGAAAACAAACUUUGCAAAUUAUGACAUGAACUGAGUGCUGAAAAUUAUGUUGGCGUAGGCAUGGAAGAGCAUGUCGUUCUAAUGUCACAGACAAGGAAUAAUGCAGAUGUUAUAGAGAUUGUGGUCAGACCGUCCGGCGAUAAAAUUGAACAGAGCACUCAGUGCUUGAAGUUUGAGACAAUAAUAGACGGUAAGUUCUGUAUCUGAAUGUGUGUAUAUCAUUUUGUGAAGUAGUUCAUGGUGGCUGAUUGCAUGCCAAAUCCAAUUUGUAUUUAGUAGGGCUGGCAUGUGUGGGGUCAUCACCACCACAAGGUUUUAGAAGCACUUCGCAAGCGCGAGGGAGUCAUUGCGUCUGAUCAAGUUAGGUCUGGUGAACCCAGAUGUGCUUCUAUUACCUAAUUCUGUACGGUCAUUCUAUACAAUGUAAAUGAUGCCAUGCUAACUCAAAUUGAUGGGUGGCCUGCAAUGCAGCCAGGUCAGAUGGCAAGCUGCCAUUGAACAUGUCGGCAGCAGCAGGCAUUAGGAGGCGGCAGAAGAGGUGUGCAAACAGGGGCAGCAGGCAGUAUCGUCAGAGGAGAUGCCUAACGCGAUCAAGCAGGCAUUUGUCACCUCGAAAAGCUCUGAUGAAUAUGAAGAUCCGGCUGCAAUCAAGCUACAGGUAUUGGCAGAGCUGAACUUUAGCAGUGAUAUUUGUUCACUUUGGAAAAUAGUAGUACUAAUCAUUAUGUUUGUCAGGUGCCACACCCAGGAAAGAGGACAAAGAAGCAAGCAGGGCCUACUCCAGCAAGGCCAACAUCAGUGCCCAGAACUGCUUCUCAACCAGUUGGAAGGGGAAGCCGGAGGAGUCACAACAGGGCAGGUUGAAGCUCCAGAUAGCCUGCUCCAGGAGUUCAAGCUCACAGCAAGUCCGAAGGCAUAACAGCACUGGGGAACAUUGAAUGCCUAGCUUU
RNAcentral lists this long non-coding RNA (33196 nucleotides) under Triticum aestivum (bread wheat). RNAcentral describes it as "long non-coding RNA (TAES_LNC021463)". Lineage: Eukaryota; Viridiplantae; Streptophyta; Magnoliopsida; Poales; Poaceae. The record is from RNAcentral.